CAAUAGCGUAUAUUAAAGUUGUUGCGGUUAAAAAGCUCGUAGUUGGAUCUCGGCGGGCAGGGGGCGGUUCGUUGUCUUGACGGCACUGCCCCAUUUGUCCGUGGUUUUGACGGAGGUUUGAGGGUUCUCUUCACCGGGUGUCCUCAGAUGCCGUCAGGUUUACUUUGAAAAAAUUAGAGUGCUCAAAGCAGGCUGUUUUGCUUGAAUAUUCGUGCAUGGAAUAAUGGAAUAGGAAGUCGUUUCUAUUUUGUUGGUUUUCGGAAAUUGACUUAAUGAUUAAUAGGGACAGCCGGGGGCAUUAGUAUUCAGACGACAGAGGUGAAAUUCUUGGACCGUCUGAAGACUAACUACUGCGAAAGCAUUUGCCAAGAGUGUUUUCAUUAA
RNAcentral lists this ribosomal RNA (384 nucleotides) under uncultured eukaryote. RNAcentral's name for it is "partial 18S ribosomal RNA". It matches the Rfam family "Eukaryotic small subunit ribosomal RNA", at positions 592 to 976 of the family's 1831-position model. The record is from RNAcentral.